This 490-nucleotide ribosomal RNA is filed under the name uncultured bacterium. RNAcentral's name for it is "partial 16S ribosomal RNA". It matches the Rfam family "Bacterial small subunit ribosomal RNA", at positions 29 to 507 of the family's 1533-position model. The record is from RNAcentral.
AAUGAACGCUGGCGGCAUGCCUUACACAUGCAGGUCGAACGGCAGCAUGACCUAGCUUGCUAGGUUGAUGGCGAGUGGCGAACGGGUGAGUAAUGCAUCGGAACGUGCCUUUUAGUGGGGGAUAACGUAGCGAAAGUUACGCUAAUACCGCAUAUUCUCUGAGGAGGAAAGCAGGGGACCUUCGGGCCUUGCGCUAGAAGAGCGGCCGAUGUCGGAUUAGCUAGUUGGUGAGGUAAAGGCUCACCAAGGCAACGAUCCGUAGCGGGUCUGAGAGGAUGAUCCGCCACACUGGGACUGAGACACGGCCCAGACUCCUACGGGAGGCAGCAGUGGGGAAUUUUGGACAAUGGGCGCAAGCCUGAUCCAGCCAUGCCGCGUGAGUGAAGAAGGCCUUCGGGUUGUAAAGCUCUUUCGGCUGGGAAGAAAUCGCACCCUCUAAUACAGGGUGUGGAUGACGGUACCAGCAUAAGAAGCACCGGCUAACUACGUG